RNAcentral lists this transfer RNA (110 nucleotides) under Candidatus Aenigmatarchaeota archaeon. RNAcentral describes it as "tRNA-OTHER". It matches the Rfam family "tRNA". Rfam says of the family: Transfer RNA (tRNA) molecules are approximately 80 nucleotides in length. Lineage: Archaea; Nanobdellati; Candidatus Aenigmatarchaeota. The record is from RNAcentral.
GCCCUCGUAGCUCAGUUUGGAUUCAGAGCACUUUGUUUUUGGAUCUCGGUUCAAGGCGUGCAAGCCUCCUAAGCAAGGGGUCGUGGGUUCGAAUCCCACCGGGGGCGCCA